Molecule: ribosomal RNA, 383 nt
Filed under: uncultured eukaryote
Lineage: Eukaryota
Description: partial 18S ribosomal RNA
Rfam family: Eukaryotic small subunit ribosomal RNA
Source: RNAcentral
CAAUAGCGUAUAUUAAAGUUGUUGCAGUUAAAAAGUUCGUAGUUGGAUUUCUGGUGGGAGCGAUCGGUCUGGCGCUUAGCGCGAGUACUUGCAUCGUCUCCGGCCAUCCUUGGGGAAAGUCUGUCUGGCAUUAAGUUGUCGGGCAGAGGAUCCUCAUCGUUUACUGUGAAAAAAUUAGAGUGUUCAAAGCAGGCUUAUGCCGUUGAAUAUAUUAGCAUGGAAUAAUAAGAUAGGACUUUGGUACUAUUUUGUUGGUUUGCGCACCAAAGUAAUGAUUAAUAGGGACAGUUGGGGGUAUUCGUAUUCCGUUGUCAGAGGUGAAAUUCUUGGAUUUACGGAAGACGAACUACUGCGAAAGCAUUUACCAAGGAUGUUUUCAUUAA